Molecule: ribosomal RNA, 492 nt
Filed under: uncultured bacterium
Lineage: Bacteria
Description: partial 16S ribosomal RNA
Rfam family: Bacterial small subunit ribosomal RNA
Source: RNAcentral
AGUGAACGCUGGCGGUAGGCCUAACACAUGCAAGUCGAACGGCAGCACAGUAAGAGCUUGCUCUUACGGGUGGCGAGUGGCGGACGGGUGAGGAAUACAUCGGAAUCUACUUUUUCGUGGGGGAUAACGUAGGGAAACUUACGCUAAUACCGCAUACGACCUACGGGUGAAAGCAGGGGAUCUUCGGACCUUGCGCGAUUGAAUGAGCCGAUGUCGGAUUAGCUAGUUGGCGGGGUAAAGGCCCACCAAGGCGACGAUCCGUAGCUGGUCUGAGAGGAUGAUCAGCCACACUGGAACUGAGACACGGCCCAGACUCCUACGGGAGGCAGCAGUGGGGAAUAUUGGACAAUGGGCGCAAGCCUGAUCCAGCCAUACCGCGUGGGUAAAGAAGGCCUUCGGGUUGUAAAGCCCUUUUGUUGGGAAAGAAAAGCAGCAGGUUAAUACCCCGCUGUUCUGACGGUACCCAAAGAAUAAGCACCGGCUAACUUCGUG